CAUGUCAUUUAUUUCAAUUGCUUUGUAGUUGUUCUUCUUUUAUUCUUAUUAUUUGCCUACUUCACUUUAUACCACCAAUUACAAGCAACUCUUAAUUGAGGCCAUCUUGUAACUUGGAUUGAAGAGUGAAAAUUUACACUCACAAUGAUAUUCUGAUUAUUUUGCUAUAUUGGUUCAAUCCAUAAUUUUUUUUUGUCUCAAAGAUAUAUUAUUAAAUAGUAUCUUUAAUUAGAUUCUUUACUAUUAAUAUUAUUGGUUAUAUUUCUUAUAUAUACAUCUUUUUGGUGAAAGUAGUUUCAAAUUUGGUAAUUGACCUUCAAACAAAACUUACAUCAAAUAAAGAAAUUUGAGUAGUCAACUAAUAUCAUAAUUAGCUUCUUUGAAAAUAUAUUCUUAAUUUUGAUUUUUAUCUUCUAUUCUUAGCUAGUAUUAAGUGUGAUAUUAUAUUUCAAUUCAUUGAACAUAUUAUUAUGUGUAUCUUACUCAAUGGCCUUCUAAAGAGAUCUGAAAAUCUUAAUGGUAAUUAUAUUGAAUUACUAUGGUAAAUGCUUAAGAAUUAUUCAAGUAGGAAUCAAUAUAUCUUUGCUAUUUUUGAAAUCAAAAUCUAUUGUAUGUUAUUAAAAGAUAUAUAUAAAACUAUUAUUACAUUAUAAUAUAAACAAUAGUACCUAUAUAGUUACUUAUAGAUGGAGCAUGCAAACAUAAAAGAAGCCUUAUUCUUAUUCAUUAUUAAUUAUAAAGCUCCUAUUUAAAAGAUAAAUAUUGAACCUAUUGAAUCAAUCCUUGAAAGCAAGUUUUUUGGAUUUGAUACCAAUAAGAUUUGCUAUGACAAUGUAAUCAUGCAUAUAUAAUUUUUUUUAUGUUUCUAUGAUUUCUUUUAAUACAUGAAUUUAUUUGGUAUAAAUCUUAAUAAAAAAUCUAACAUAGUUUUGUAUAUAGUUGGUAAAAAAUACCUUGUCUUUACCAAAUUUAGUUAGAUUAAAUAGAUGUUGCUAUUCCUUGAUUGAAUUUGUAUCUAUUAAAAUUGUGCUAUAUUUUUUCAACACAAUCGUGCUACUAUAUUCAUUGAGGUCUACAUCAAUGCUUGCUUCUUAUAAAACUUUAAAUCCAUUGCAUAUCAAAAUGACAUAAGUAUGUAUUUGCAUGUAAUCUAGUAGCCAAAACCUAAUCUUCACUCUUAUCUUGAUUAGUUGUUCAUAUCCUAUUAGAAUAAAUAAACUAAAUUGUUUUUUUCAUACACAAUUGCAACACAAGUCAUAUAUUGGUGAAAAAAAAUGUAUUUAAACUACUUGAUAGUUAGUCUCUAAUUUCAUAUAAUACUACUCUAAACAACAGUCAACCAUUGCACCUAAGCAACUCUCUCUUUUUUACCUAAAAUUACAUAGCUCCAUUUCCACAUCUAAAAAUUUUAGUAAUCUUAUUUUUUUUAUUUUCUUAUGAUAGUCAGUUUCUUACAAGACACUACUAAUACUAUUGUUAGUCAAUGAUUAAACCAUUAUUUCAUAUUAUAUACAAAAUAUUCUUUGAAUAAAAAAAUAAUACAAAUGAAUAUUUUAAAUUGAAUUUUGAAUUAAAGAAUAUAAGUAGGAUUUUUUAUUAAUUUUUUUAUAAAUAAAUAAAAAAUUAAAUAAAAUCUAAUAAUAAAAUCAAACUAUGAUGUAAAGGCAUUGAAGAGCUUAUUAUUGUUAUAAAGAUUACAUUUAUUAAAGAUAUUAAAAGAUAUCAUAUUUGAGUUGGAUUUAUGAAUUGAUUGACUAACUGCCACAUAAAGUAGGUUUUUUUAGGAUUUUGGAUGUUGUCACAAUAAUAAAGCAAUAGAAGUAUGUUAACUCAAAUAAACCUCCACUAGUUGGAAGUUUUUUUUAAUUCAUAAAAAGUAACUUGACUGGGUGAAUUUAAAAGUAAGGCCAUUAUUCAAAUUUUAAUCAAAUCAUUAGUUGUUAUUGUUAAAACACCAAGUUCUUAAUCAAAUAUUCUAAUAAUUAUUCGCAUUCACAAUGAUAAUUCACUCAUUAUACUUCAUGAAAAAUAGUUCCUUCUUUUAAUUCUAAUUAUAUGAUUUAGUUUUAAAUAAUUUCUUUUCUUUUUCUUUUUUUCUUUUUUUAGGUUUUAUUUAUUUAUUUAUUUAUUUAUUAUUUAUUAUUUUAUUUAUUUUUUAAAUAUAUAAAUUAUUACUUCUUAAAUAAUUAGUGGAAAGAAUAAUUAAUUAAAUUCUUAUUAUUAAUCCAUAGUAAAGGAAAAAUCUUAAGUAAAAAUUAAAAUUUUAAGUUUUAACAAAUUGAAAAUAAAAAAUAAAAUUGUCGAUUAAGUAAAAAGUAAAAAUAAAGAAUAAAAAAAUAAAAGUUAAAAGAAAUAAGUUAAAGUUAAAGUACAAAGUUUACAUAUGGAAGUUACAAGUUAUUGAAAAAAUAAAAGAAAAAAUAAAAACUAAGAGGGAUGAAGAGAAGGCACCUUGAUAACGACCAAGAACUUACAGCAGCGACUCCCUUCUACUCCGAAAUUCGCCAACCAUUUGUAUCAGCUUUAAUUCUGAUGAUUUUUGCUUGGUUGAAAACCUAACUUGAAGACGCUCCUGCUUUAAGAAACUGUGUGGCAAUCCAAUACCUGAGGCAUGCGCAAUGCUCCUUCAAAGUUGAAUAAUCGAGACUUCCACGGCAGCUUACCACCCUUCACUCCAAAAUGCACCAAAAAUUUGGAUCUGCUUCAAACGUAAUAAAACUUGCACGAUUGGAAGGUUAAACUUGUACAAGCUCUUAUUCUUAAAAUUUCAGAAUUUUUUAAGUAAACAACACUGAGAAAUGUCUUUUCAAAAACUAGUGACCCAAACUGCCAAGUCAGCCGACCCCUUCGCACUCAAUAAUUCACAAAAAAGUCGUUUUAGCUCCAAAUUGAGCAAGCUUGAGCAGGUUGGAAAGCUGAUAGUAAGAGGUAUGUGCUCAAAAAAAUUCACCACAAAAAUUAAAAGAACCAAAGACUGAUUGGGAAAAAUCCGAGGCCCUUCAAACCCACUUAACAAGAGAAGUAUUUGGAAACUACUAAUUCUAAGGGAGUGCCUUCUAAACCACAAUAAGCACCGCCCACAACAUAAAAUCAAUGAUCACACAUUCACAAGGUGCACAAUGAGCAUUAGGAUCCAAAAUGAAAUUGGAAUUAGGGUUUUAGGCCAAGAUUUGGCAUGGCUUCACCCUUCAUCGAAAAAAA
Molecule: long non-coding RNA, 3201 nt
Filed under: Physcomitrium patens
Lineage: Eukaryota; Viridiplantae; Streptophyta; Bryopsida; Funariales; Funariaceae
Description: long non-coding RNA (PPAT_LNC012734)
Source: RNAcentral